RNAcentral lists this unclassified non-coding RNA (207 nucleotides) under Hevea brasiliensis (rubber tree). The record is from RNAcentral. Lineage: Eukaryota; Viridiplantae; Streptophyta; Magnoliopsida; Malpighiales; Euphorbiaceae.
GGUUACUAUAAGGGAGUCCAAUUUCAUUAGUGUCAACAACUGGUCGUAGGCACUCUCUCACUAGAUCAGAUUUUGUAACAUGAUCAUGUUCCACAACAUUGUCAUCUACAGAAUCAUGGAAAUCACUGGACAGAAUUUGGCAGUCUCCCCAAAAUCAUAAUAUGCUUCUUUAGUAGGAAUCACAUCUGCAGUUGGUAAUCCCUCGAC